GGAUGUGAGGAUGAUUUGGCUGCAACAUCUGUCACCCUAUCGAUCUCCAGGGUUGAUCUGACUGAUCUGACUGGCUAGGUGGGUGCCCCCUUCCUCCCUCACUGCUCCAUGUGCGUCCCCCUGUUAGAACCUCCAAAACAACUUCCCAAGAUGAAGAUGUGUAUUGUCUGAUAAAACAAACAAACAAACAAAACAACAACAACAACAACCAGCUUUGGUACUUUACUUACUGUGGAAUUU
RNAcentral lists this small nuclear RNA (240 nucleotides) under Erinaceus europaeus (western European hedgehog). RNAcentral describes it as "7SK RNA". It matches the Rfam family "7SK RNA". Rfam says of the family: 7SK was discovered as an abundant small nuclear RNA in the mid-70s but a possible function has only recently been suggested. Two independent studies have found that 7SK RNA binds the CDK9/cyclin T complex (known as elongation factor P-TEFb). P-TEFb activates transcription by phosphorylating the C-terminal domain of RNA polymerase II. Lineage: Eukaryota; Metazoa; Chordata; Mammalia; Eulipotyphla; Erinaceidae. The record is from Rfam by way of RNAcentral.